UAAAAAAGAUUUAAUAAAAAGAAAAAAAAAUUGGCCAAGAUUAUCCUCUCACCUCCCCCUCCUCUUCCAUCCAUGUAAUUCGAACCAUUCAGACUCUAAGACUAUAACCAAAAUUUUAAGUCCACGUUGCCUUUGCGCUCACUCUAUAUAUAGAGCACUAUCUAUUCUUUGAAAUCGUACAUAGCUCUAGCUUUCUAUAAUUUUUUCUUUAAGAUGUCUUACUUUAAGAAGCUUAUGUUGAAUAUGGUUUUGUUGUUUGUGCUUCUUAUAACAAUUGAAUUGGCAUCUGCAAGGGCACCCCUUUGGGUUUCUGAGCCUCGUCUCAAAGCAUAUGGACGCAGACUGAUGGAUGAUGAUGGAAGAAACCACCAUUAUCAUAAUCAUCCCUGAAUCCAGAUGGACCCUUAAUUGAGGAACCAAGGCUCAAUUAUAUGCUGCCAAUUCAAAUGUUAGAUAAUAAUCUAUUGAAUUUUUGUUAUUGAGCAUUUUACAUUUCUAUAUUAGUAAUCUUGUUAUUUUAAUUUGGUUUGUUAUAUAUUUUACUUGUAAUGUAUACUUUCAUAAAUUAUACUAUUGAUAUUGAUAUUGAUAUUAUUA
Trifolium pratense (red clover) is the source of this 597-nucleotide long non-coding RNA. RefSeq lists it as uncharacterized. The record is from RefSeq and is a predicted model, not a curated record. The transcript is spliced from 2 exons. Lineage: Eukaryota; Viridiplantae; Streptophyta; Magnoliopsida; Fabales; Fabaceae.